GGGUAACCUGCCCUAUGCUGGAUAAUAACCUCGGGAAACUGAGAAUAAUGAUCCAUAGUUCACUACGCCUGGAACGGUGAGUGGAUGAAAGCUCCGGCGGCAUAGGAUGGGCCUGCGGCGUAUCAGGUUGUAGGGGGUGUAACGUACCCUCUAGCCCUCUACGCGUACGGGUGUUGGGAGACAUAGCCCGGAGAUGGAUUCUGAGACACGAAUCCAGACCCUACGGGGUGCAGCAGGCGCGAAAACUUGGCAAUGCGAGAAAUCGUGACCAGGGAACUCCAAGUGCAUCGGGUAAGACCGGUGCUUUUCUUGACUCUAAAUAGGUCUUGGAAUAAGGGGUGGGUAAGGACGGUGCCAGCCGCCGCGGUAAUACCGGCGCCUCAAGUGGUAGUCGCUUUUAUUGGGCCUAAAACGUCCGUAGCCGGUCUGAUACAUUCGUGGGUAAAUCAACCAGCUCAACUGGUUGAAUUCUGCGGGGACGGUCAGACUUGGGACCGGGAGAGGUGUGGGGUACGCUCAGGGUAGGGGUAAAAUCCUGUCAUCCUGAGCGGACCACCUGUUGCGAAGGCGCCACACUAGAACGGAUCCGACGGUCAGGGACGAAGCCUAGGGGCACGAACCGGAUUAGAUACCCGGGUAGUCCUAGGUGUAAACGCUGUGGACUUGAUGUUGGGGGUGCUCCGAGCACUCUCAGUGUCGAAGCGAAGGUGAUAAGUCCACUGCCUGGGAAGUACGGUCGCAAGGCUGAAACUU
Molecule: ribosomal RNA, 753 nt
Filed under: uncultured Candidatus Poseidoniales archaeon
Lineage: Archaea; Methanobacteriati; Thermoplasmatota; Candidatus Poseidoniia; Candidatus Poseidoniales
Description: bacterial SSU rRNA
Rfam family: Archaeal small subunit ribosomal RNA
Source: RNAcentral